AAUGGCAAUGACAAUGGGAAGCAAGGCUGUAAGGCGGAGCGAAUCCGGAAAGAUUGCCUCAGUUCGGAUUGUUCUCUGCAACUCGGGAACAUGAAG
Ribosomal RNA from Oryza sativa (Asian cultivated rice), 96 nucleotides. It matches the Rfam family "Bacterial small subunit ribosomal RNA", at positions 1229 to 1325 of the family's 1533-position model. Lineage: Eukaryota; Viridiplantae; Streptophyta; Magnoliopsida; Poales; Poaceae. The record is from Rfam.